UAGGUUUAGGCAAACAACUGCUUGCUUUAGGCAACAAAACUACAACUUCUUUAGGUUUAGGCAAAAAAAAAAAACAUAGUUAAGUACAGGGAAAAACACCUUGUUUUGGGUUAAAAUAACCUCACACUGACUAUACAACAGCGCCUGCCUUCCACUUCUGCCCCUGUCAUAAUUACUACGGUCACUGUCAUGUUCUUUUGUAUCUUCUUUCGGUGAUUUACCAUGUGACUAGAUAAUAAAACCUACUAGUGGGUGUAGUAGGCCCCUAUUCACCCACAUCUAUGGGGCUUAUAGCGACUGAUAACGCCUACUUAAUAGCCUGACAGCAGUCUAACUGGACAGCUAUCUAAAAGAUAACAGGGAGGUAAAGGUUACCAAAAAAUAAUCCUUCAUAUGAGUGUCUCUGUUCCUUAAUGUCUCGCUGUUCUUUCAGCUUUACCGUUCAAAAAGAGUCACAGUUGAUAUGAAAAACCUGAAAGUCACUGUCACGUCAUUUCUGGCACAUCAUUGCUUGAAUUUUUGUUCACCAGUUUCUCAUUUUUACAAAGAAAAUACAGUAUCACAAUGAAGUGUGUAACUUUUUAAUCAAGUGACAGUCAGAGAAACCUGGCUCAUUUGCAAAAGCACUGCUACAUUCUCAAUUGUAAAUAUGAUUAGUUCUAUUUUUAGUUUGGAUUCCCUCUUGGAGAACUAAUGAUUUGCAUCAUUUUUAAUUUCAAUGUUAUCAAUAAAUUGACCUGUAACUACUGA
Molecule: long non-coding RNA, 750 nt
Organism: Sebastes umbrosus (honeycomb rockfish)
Lineage: Eukaryota; Metazoa; Chordata; Actinopteri; Perciformes; Sebastidae
Exons: 2
Source: RefSeq, a predicted model, not a curated record